AUCCGGCUGAAGAGUCCAAAAUGGGACGAAACGCGCAUCCUGGAA
Schistosoma margrebowiei is the source of this 45-nucleotide non-coding RNA. Lineage: Eukaryota; Metazoa; Platyhelminthes; Trematoda; Strigeidida; Schistosomatidae. The record is from Rfam.